RNAcentral lists this ribosomal RNA (433 nucleotides) under uncultured bacterium. RNAcentral describes it as "partial 16S ribosomal RNA". It matches the Rfam family "Bacterial small subunit ribosomal RNA", at positions 29 to 507 of the family's 1533-position model. The record is from RNAcentral.
AACGAACGCUGGCGGCAGGCCUAACACAUGCAAGUCGAGCGAGGACUUCGGUUCUAGCGGCGGACGGGUGAGUAACGCGUGGGAAUGUGCCCUUCUCUACGGAAUAGCCCUGGGAAACUGGGAGUAAUACCGUAUACGCCCUUUUGGGGAAAGAUUUAUCGGAGAAGGAUCAGCCCGCGUUGGAUUAGGUAGUUGGUGGGGUAAUGGCCUACCAAGCCGACGAUCCAUAGCUGGUUUGAGAGGAUGAUCAGCCACACUGGGACUGAGACACGGCCCAGACUCCUACGGGAGGCAGCAGUGGGGAAUCUUAGACAAUGGGGGCAACCCUGAUCGAGCCAUGCCGCGUGAGUGAUGAAGGCAUUAGGGUUGUAAAGCUCUUUCAGCUGGGAAGAUAAUGACGGUACCAGCAGAAGAAGCCCCGGCUAACUCCGUG